CCACAGACCAGUGCCAUCAGGGACCCUUGAUGCAAAGCACCUGGGUUCUUACUGAUGUCUUUAGGUUACCCAAUUAAAUAUGGAGUUGCCUACCUUAUUAAGUCAUUUUUAGUUGGAGUUCUCUGUUACUUUCAGUCAAAGACAAUUGAUAAAACAACAAUAAUGUUAAAAUUUCUUUUCUGUCAUGAGGACAGUGGGGUAGGUUAUGGGACAGGAUCCCUGAGCCUUACUUCAAGCAAUGUGAGAUGCCUGGCAUUAGAGAAUGCACUCAACCAUGAACCAUGUGCCUUCAUUAAGGUCUAACUAUUAGAAGGAGGUUCCGGAAGAACCAGUUUAGGAAGAGCUGGAGGUUCUGAGCAAGUCAGGGUAUGAGUAAAGAGUUCCCGACCAACCUGGGAGAUGUGAGCAUAUGAGAACAGGCUGGGCGCACAAGCUGGAGAGAAGAAAUGUCUUUCAGUAAUUUGAGAAAUGUGAAUCUCCUACCCAUCUCUUCAGGACUCCUGAAGACAGAGAUAAGCCUUCUGUUUCCAGUGAUCAUGGGCCAGAUGAAGCCAGCCUCAGGAUAAUAAACCAGGUGAUGGUUUCAUCUCCCAAGUGUGCUUCCUCGUUUAAAAAACAAAACACACAAGGACACCUAGUGUAUCGUGACCUCCAGGGAAGGAGCCUGUCUGAGCACCAUCGAGUCAAUGCCUAAGAAGUAGACCCUGCAUUUAUGAAGAGGACUGUGGGCUGGGAACUUUCCUAGGACCCCUCUCAAUAGUUCUUCCUUUCUUAUGCAGAGUAACUUAUUUCCCCCAAACCCAUAUCCGAGCACCCUGUCUCUACAUAUUCAACAGGGGACCUUGCGAUUAUAAGGAUUAGUCUUUUGGUGGGUGGCAGGUUGAAUGGGGAGGGGAUGUUAAUAAGUAAUUUUGCUCCCUUCACACAUAAUUUUUAUUCAGUCAGAGUGUGGAAGAGUUUUUGCAACAGGUAGUGUUUUGUUUGUUUGUUUGAAAGAAGAGUCAUUGUGAUUAAAGAAAAAAUGUAAGCUUAUCUCUAUUUCCUUCUACUGCUGAAAAAUAGCUCCUUGACCUUCACUGGUCCAGACUUUCUGCUCUGGGCAACCCAUGGGGCAACACUGUUAAAUACAAUUCUUGAAAUUUUUUUCUAAACCUCUUUCUUUUUUUUUUUUUUUUUGAUAAAAAUCCUUAAUGCAUCUGUACUAGGAAGCACUCUACUUAUCAUAUGCUAUGCAUUGAAUAUUUGUUUCUGUUCAAUAUUCAUAGGUUGAAAUCCUUACCCUCAAACUGAUGGUAUUCAGAGAUGGGGCCCUAGUGGGUGAUGGGAUCUUGAAGGUAGAACCCUCUUCAAUGGGAUUGCUGCUCUUCUAUGGAAGAUCCCAGAGUGAUUUCCCAUCCCUCUGCCAUGUGGAGACAUAGCCAGAAGGCAAUGUCUGUGAACCAGGAACUGGGUUCUUACCAGAUACUAUUGGCACCUUGAUCUUGGACUUCCCGGCCUUCAGAACUGUGAGAAAUAAAUUUCUGUUG
Molecule: long non-coding RNA, 1526 nt
Organism: Bos taurus (domestic cattle)
Lineage: Eukaryota; Metazoa; Chordata; Mammalia; Artiodactyla; Bovidae
Source: Ensembl